RNAcentral lists this small nucleolar RNA (84 nucleotides) under Kazachstania africana CBS 2517. RNAcentral's name for it is "Small nucleolar RNA snR54". It matches the Rfam family "Small nucleolar RNA snR54". From Rfam's summary of the family: snR54 is a member of the C/D class of snoRNA which contain the C (UGAUGA) and D (CUGA) box motifs. Most of the members of the box C/D family function in directing site-specific 2'-O-methylation of substrate RNAs. Lineage: Eukaryota; Fungi; Ascomycota; Saccharomycetes; Saccharomycetales; Saccharomycetaceae. The record is from Rfam by way of RNAcentral.
UAAUAUGAUGAUUGACUUAAUUUAAUAACUUUCGUUCUACUGAGUUCGAUCAAACGAUCGUGUAGACAACUUUUCUUUCUGAGC